Molecule: ribosomal RNA, 430 nt
Filed under: Pseudomonadota bacterium
Lineage: Bacteria; Pseudomonadati; Pseudomonadota
Description: Proteobacteria bacterium partial 16S ribosomal RNA
Rfam family: Bacterial small subunit ribosomal RNA
Source: RNAcentral
UGGGGAAUAUUGGACAAUGGGGGGAACCCUGAUCCAGCCAUGCCGCGUGUGUGAAGAAGGCCUUAUGGUUGUAAAGCACUUUAAGCGAGGAGGAGGGUACUGUUAUUAAUACUACCAGCUACUGGACGUUACUCGCAUAAUAAGCACCUGCUAACUCUGUGCUAGCAGCCGCGGUAAUACAGAGGGUGCGAGCGUUAAUCGGAUUUACUGGGCGUAAAGCGUGCGUAGGCGGCUAAUUGAGUCGGAUGUGAAAUCCCCGAGCUUAACUUGGGAAUUGCAUUCGAUACUGGUGAGCUAGAGUGUGGGAGAGGAUGGUAGAAUUCCAGGUGUAGCGGUGAAAUGCGUAGAGAUCUGGAGGAAUACCGAUGGCGAAGGCAGCCAUCUGGCCUAACACUGACGCUGAGGUACGAAAGCAUGGGGAGCAAACAGG